Molecule: non-coding RNA, 183 nt
Filed under: uncultured Ruminococcus sp.
Lineage: Bacteria; Bacillati; Bacillota; Clostridia; Eubacteriales; Oscillospiraceae
Source: RNAcentral
UCUGGUCUAUUCAGAAGCUGAGGGUAAAAGGGAAACAGGUCAGAAUCCUGUACGAUCUCGUCACUGUAUUGUAGGAGUAUAUGGCUGUUGAUGAUUUUUCAUCAUAAUAUGUCACUGAUUUUCAGAAUUGGGAAGGCUGCCAUAUAUGCUGAUCACUAAGUCAGGAAACCUGCCGUUUGUGAA